GACGAACGCUGGCGGCGUGCUUAACACAUGCAAGUCGAACGGUGAUGCUCCAGCUUGCUGGAGUGGAUCAGUGGCGAACGGGUGAGUAACACGUGAGCAACCUGCCCCAGACUCUGGAAUAAGCGCUGGAAACGGCGUCUAAUACUGGAUACGAAACUGGCCCGCAUGGGCAUGGUUUGGAAAGUUUUUCGGUUUGGGAUGGGCUCGCGGCCUAUCAGCUUGUUGGUGAGGUAAUGGCUCACCAAGGCGACGACGGGUAGCCGGCCUGAGAGGGCGACCGGCCACACUGGGACUGAGACACGGCCCAGACUCCUACGGGAGGCAGCAGUGGGGAAUAUUGCACAAUGGGCGAAAGCCUGAUGCAGCGACGCCGCGCGAGGGAUGACGGCCUUCGGGUUGUAAACCUCUUUCAGCAGGGAAGAAGCGAAAGUGACGGUACCUGCAGAAGAAGCACCGGCUAACUACGUG
This 468-nucleotide ribosomal RNA is filed under the name uncultured bacterium. RNAcentral's name for it is "partial 16S ribosomal RNA". It matches the Rfam family "Bacterial small subunit ribosomal RNA", at positions 28 to 507 of the family's 1533-position model. The record is from RNAcentral.